RNAcentral lists this ribosomal RNA (493 nucleotides) under uncultured bacterium. RNAcentral's name for it is "partial 16S ribosomal RNA". It matches the Rfam family "Bacterial small subunit ribosomal RNA", at positions 29 to 507 of the family's 1533-position model. The record is from RNAcentral.
AGUGAACGCUGGCGGUAGGCCUAACACAUGCAAGUCGAACGGCAGCACAGUAAGAGCUUGCUCUUACGGGUGGCGAGUGGCGGACGGGUGAGGAAUACAUCGGAAUCUACUUUUUCGUGGGGGAUAACGUAGGGAAACUUACGCUAAUACCGCAUACGACCUACGGGUGAAAGCAGGGGAUCUUCGGACCUUGCGCGAUUGAAUGAGCCGAUGUCGGAUUAGCUAGUUGGCGGGGUAAAGGCCCACCAAGGCGACGAUCCGUAGCUGGUCUGAGAGGAUGAUCAGCCACACUGGAACUGAGACACGGUCCAGACUCCUACGGGAGGCAGCAGUGGGGAAUAUUUGGACAAUGGGCGCAAGCCUGAUCCAGCCAUACCGCGUGGGUGAAGAAGGCCUUCGGGUUGUAAAGCCCUUUUGUUGGGAAAGAAAAGCAGCAGGUUAAUACCCCGCUGUUCUGACGGUACCCAAAGAAUAAGCACCGGCUAACUUCGUG